This 312-nucleotide long non-coding RNA is filed under the name Crocodylus porosus (Australian saltwater crocodile). Its description in RNAcentral is "lncRNA (ENSCPRG00005002394.1)". The record is from RNAcentral. Lineage: Eukaryota; Metazoa; Chordata; Crocodylia; Crocodylidae.
CUGCAGUUUAGCCUAGGCUAGCCAAGGCUGGCAACAAGCUUCUCUUCUCCACAGGAGAAAGGCAGGUCUAAGAACAUGUUUGAUGUGUAUAUUUUAACCCUAUAUUUCCUUUUUUUUCCCCAGAAAUAUGAUUUCUCCUAGACUGGACAAUGUAGCUCUUUGUUCAAGAAUGUUACUGUCAUUGACUUUAAUAAUAAAAUCCAAUUUCUUAUAUUGCCAGUUUCAUUUUAGGGGAAACCAUAAAUAUCUGUAGCCUGGAAUACACAUUUAAGUUCUUUUAGAACCAGGGUUGAAUCUACCAGUGUCUUUUAU